Molecule: transfer RNA, 74 nt
Filed under: Methanomassiliicoccaceae archaeon
Lineage: Archaea; Methanobacteriati; Thermoplasmatota; Thermoplasmata; Methanomassiliicoccales; Methanomassiliicoccaceae
Also listed under: 1 other name
Description: tRNA-Lys
Rfam family: tRNA
About the family: Transfer RNA (tRNA) molecules are approximately 80 nucleotides in length. Their secondary structure includes four short double-helical elements and three loops (D, anti-codon, and T loops). Further hydrogen bonds mediate the characteristic L-shaped molecular structure. tRNAs have two regions of fundamental functional importance: the anti-codon, which is responsible for specific mRNA codon recognition, and the 3' end, to which the tRNAs corresponding amino acid is attached (by aminoacyl-tRNA synthetases). tRNAs cope with the degeneracy of the genetic code in two manners: having more than one tRNA (with a specific anti-codon) for a particular amino acid; and 'wobble' base-pairing, i.e. permitting non-standard base-pairing at the 3rd anti-codon position.
Source: RNAcentral
GGGUCUGUAGCUCAGCUAGGUAGAGCAUCUGGCUUUUAACCAGGUGGUCAAGGGUUCGAAUCCCUUCAGACCCG